Molecule: ribosomal RNA, 1014 nt
Filed under: Triticum aestivum (bread wheat)
Lineage: Eukaryota; Viridiplantae; Streptophyta; Magnoliopsida; Poales; Poaceae
Description: partial small subunit ribosomal RNA
Source: RNAcentral
AUGAAGGAUGAAGCUAAUGAGGUUGUGGAGGCGAUUGCCAAGAAGAUUGUCCAAGACAUGCCCUAUGAGGCGUGCGUUGAUGCUGUGGUGAUGUAUUUCGCGCACGAACGCAAAAUGCUUCUCAAAAAGUCUCUAGCCCGGAGAGUGCAUCUCACCCGUUCCAUGUACAUGAAGGCGGUUCCCUCGUGGUGCAACAACAAUGUUCCUUGCUACCAGCAAAUCAUAUCCAAAUGGAUAGACCCGGAGUGGAGGGUCCAACAUCGAAUGGCUUCGGAGCGGCGUGCCUUGAUGGGUGGUCCGGUACACCUUCAAGGCAACCUCAACCUCCACGCUUACGUGCAGAAGAAGAAUAGGGAGAGAGGUGAGGGCCAAGAGAAGCUCAAUACCUUCACGGGAUUAUGUCUCUCCCGCAAGUCAAAGAAACCGGAAGGGGGGUGGGUCAACCCAGGCGCUGGCUUGAGGAUUGAUGCAUAUAGUGGAAAGUUCAAGGAGCACAACGGGCCUGACUCUGAUCCGGCCUCACAGGACAUUGACGCUACAAUUUCCCUCCGGUCGGGAGAGGGCAAGAAGGGUGGCCGGUUAUAUGUUGGCGACGGUGCCAUCCGUAAGAAGGACAUCUCAAAACUCUCUCACCUUCGUGCUACCACGUCGAGCUCAGGUCCUGCUAUAGAGCGUCGCCCACAGCCUGGGCUGCACAUGCUCCAUCAACUCGAGGCCAAUGCCAUGCUUCGAGAGGAGGAAGCCAUGAAAAUGCAGCAGGCCCUGUUUCAACAGCAAGAAUUCAUGGUUAAACAACAGGCAAUCCUGCAGGAGACAUUUGCUCAACUCAGAAAUAAUAUGCAGGGUUCCACUUUGCCCGUUCUUCCUCCUCUUCCGACUCUUCCUAAUUUCAACUUUUUUUCUCAGUCGGGACAAGGCUCCAAUAACUGUGUGGUAGGUGGAUCUUCACCUGGCCAAGCAAGUCCAGUGACACCCACUACGGUUCAUGUCGCUUCGACCUCCCCGCAACAAUGA